Non-coding RNA from Pelobates cultripes (western spadefoot toad), 253 nucleotides. The record is from the annotation of a GenBank genome assembly. NCBI's taxonomy places the organism in Eukaryota, Metazoa, Chordata, Amphibia, Anura, Pelobatidae.
CUGAGAGCUCUUUUGUGCAAAGCAUCAUUCACAUCAGGCAAUGCUUCUUGUGAAAAGCAAACCCAGAACUGGUGUGUGUUUUUUAUAGGGCAGGGCAGCUGUAACCAACACCUCCAAUCUCAUCUCAUUGAUUGGACUCCAGUUGGCUGACAUCUCACUCCAAUUAGCUCUUGGAGAUGUCAUUAGUCUAGGGGUUCACAUGCUUUUUCCACCUGCACUGUGAAUGUUUACAUGGUGUGUUCAAUAAAAACAU